RNAcentral lists this ribosomal RNA (472 nucleotides) under uncultured Pseudomonadota bacterium. RNAcentral's name for it is "bacterial SSU rRNA". It matches the Rfam family "Bacterial small subunit ribosomal RNA", at positions 8 to 522 of the family's 1533-position model. Lineage: Bacteria; Pseudomonadati; Pseudomonadota. The record is from RNAcentral.
AGAGUUUGAUCCUGGCUCAGAGCGAACGCUGGCGGCAGGCUUAACACAUGCAAGUCGAACGCUCCUAGCAAUAGGGGAGUGGCAGACGGGUGAGUAACGCGUGGGAACAUACCCUUUGGUUCGGAAUAACUCGGCGAAAGCCGUGCUAAUACCGGAUAAGCCCCUUACGGGGGAAAGAUUUAUCGCCGAAGGAUUGGCCCGCGUCCGAUUAGCUAGUUGGUGAGGUAAUGGCUCACCAAGGCGACGAUCGGUAGCUGGUCUGAGAGGAUGAUCAGCCACACUGGGACUGAGACACGGCCCAGACUCCUACGGGAGGCAGCAGUGGGGAAUAUUGGACAAUGGGCGCAAGCCUGAUCCAGCCAUGCCGCGUGAGUGAUGAAGGCCUUAGGGUUGUAAAGCUCUUUCGACGGGGACGAUAAUGACGGUACCCGUAGAAGAAGCCCCGGCUAACUUCGUGCCAGCAGCCGCGGUA